GUGCAUAGCCUUGUGCUGGGUACUGACAGUCCUCUUCUGGAUGUACUUCGGACUGUACUACUUCCUCGACAAGUUCGCCGGCGACACGUGCGCGGCCCUCGAGGAGUACAAGCUGAACCCCAAGAACAGCAUGCUGGGCGCCAUCAUACCCUGCAGCGAGAAGAUGUCCGGCAGCGUCAUCCUGCACGAUGUUGGUGCAGGCAUACACGACAUCAUAGACCAGUUUUUGCCAUGUAAACUCAGGUAAACAAACAAGCAGCUCAGCCGCAGCAAAUGCUUCCAGGAACCAAAGCGUCUGAAGCGGAAAUCUGAUCUUGACGACAUGGCACUGAUUGUUCUUGCGCUGUUGUUGUGAAGAUCCUGCGGAGGCUGACGUGCUCGGAGUUGGGCGGUGGCGCCAACUGUGCGCCGGCCGACCUCUCGUCGGCGAUCGACUACGACAAGGUGCAGACGUACACGAGCUCCAUCCAGAACGUGCUGGACAUCUUCCCGGGCACGGAGCGGCUGGUGAGCUGCGAGCUGGUGAAGGCCGGCUUCGCGGACAUCGUGGGCAACCAGUGCGCGCCGCUGCGGCGCGGCGCGCGGGCGACGUGGGCCGCGCUCGCCGCCCUGUCGACGGCCAUGGCACUGCUCGUGCUCGCCUCGGUGGCGUGCGGCGGCGUUGGGGGGUCGCGCCAC
Molecule: ribosomal RNA, 678 nt
Filed under: Triticum aestivum (bread wheat)
Lineage: Eukaryota; Viridiplantae; Streptophyta; Magnoliopsida; Poales; Poaceae
Description: partial small subunit ribosomal RNA
Source: RNAcentral